RNAcentral lists this non-coding RNA (24 nucleotides) under Arabidopsis thaliana (thale cress). The record is from RNAcentral. Lineage: Eukaryota; Viridiplantae; Streptophyta; Magnoliopsida; Brassicales; Brassicaceae.
AGGGACUCGUCAAUGCCGGUGUUA